Molecule: ribosomal RNA, 800 nt
Filed under: uncultured bacterium
Lineage: Bacteria
Description: bacterial SSU rRNA
Rfam family: Bacterial small subunit ribosomal RNA
Source: RNAcentral
AGAGUUUGAUCCUGGCUCAGAAUGAACGCUGGCGGCGUGCGUAACACAUGCAAGUCGAACGAGAAAGUCCGCUUCGGUGGAUGAGUAAAGUGGCGAACGGGUGAGUAACGCGUGGGUAACCUGCCCCUGAAUCUGGAAUAACUUCGCGAAAGCGAGGCUAAUACCGGAUAUUGUCCCAGGGACCGUGGUUCUUGUGAUGAAAGAUGACCUCUUCAUGAAAGUUGUCGUUCAGAGAGGGGCCCGCGUACCAUUAGCUAGUUGGUAGGGUAAUGGCCUACCAAGGCGAGGAUGGUUAGCUGGUCUGAGAGGAUGACCAGCCACACUGGCACUGAAACACGGGCCAGACUCCUACGGGAGGCAGCAGUGAGGAAUCUUGCGCAAUAGGGGAAACCCUGACGCAGCAACGCCGCGUGAGCGAAGAAGGCCUUCGGGUCGUAAAGCUCUGUCAAGUGGGAAAAAAGCUUACUGGUAAAUAGCCAGGAAGACUGAUGGUACCAUUGAAGGAAGCACCGGCUAACUCCGUGCCAGCAGCCGCGGUAAUACGGAGGGUGCAAGCGUUGUUCGGAAUUACUGGGCGUAAAGGGCGUGUAGGCGGUGUGGUAUGUCAGAUGUGAAAGCCCUGGGCUUAACCCAGGAAGUGCAUUUGAAACUGCCAUGCUUGAGUAUGGGAGAGGAGAGUGGAAUUCCCAGUGUAGAGGUGAAAUUCGUAGAUAUUGGGAGGAACACCCGUGGCGAAGGCGACUCUCUGGACCAAUACUGACGCUGAGGCGCGAAAGCGUGGGGAGCAAACAGGAUUAGAU